Molecule: transfer RNA, 73 nt
Filed under: Caudoviricetes sp.
Lineage: Duplodnaviria; Heunggongvirae; Uroviricota; Caudoviricetes
Description: tRNA-Thr
Rfam family: tRNA
About the family: Transfer RNA (tRNA) molecules are approximately 80 nucleotides in length. Their secondary structure includes four short double-helical elements and three loops (D, anti-codon, and T loops).
Source: RNAcentral
GCUGGAUUAGCUCAUUCGGUAGAGCGCUGAUUUUGUAAGUCAGGGGUGGCGGGAUCGUAGCCUGCAUCCAGCA